UAACGAAUAUUCCGCAAUGGACGAAAGUCUGACGGAGCAAUGCCGCGUGCAGGAUGAAGCGGUUUCGCCGUGUAAACUGCUGUCAGGGGCAGGAAAAACUGAUCCGCCCCCAAAGGAAGAGACGGCUAACCCUGUGCCAGCAGCCGCGGUAAUACAGGGGUCUCGAGCGUUAAUCGGAAUCACUGGGCUUAAAGGGUGCGUAGGCGGAUCCGUAAGCGCUUUGUGAAAUCCCCCGGCUCAACCGGGGAACUGCAGGGCGAACUGCGGAUCUUGAGGAAACUAGAGGCCGGUAGAACGAUUGGUGGAGCGGUGGAAUGCGUAGAUAUCAAUCGGAAUGCCAAAAGUGAAGACAGCCG
RNAcentral lists this ribosomal RNA (356 nucleotides) under uncultured bacterium. Its description in RNAcentral is "bacterial SSU rRNA". It matches the Rfam family "Bacterial small subunit ribosomal RNA", at positions 355 to 727 of the family's 1533-position model. The record is from RNAcentral.